Molecule: long non-coding RNA, 341 nt
Filed under: Mytilus galloprovincialis (Mediterranean mussel)
Lineage: Eukaryota; Metazoa; Mollusca; Bivalvia; Mytilida; Mytilidae
Source: RNAcentral
GGCUGCAUAUACAAAAACAAAUAGUGAAAUUCAAAAUGUUAAUCAAUAUGUUACAUGUUAUUCUUUAAACGCUUUCUGUUUUUAUGGUUGAAAUUAGAUAGGUUGAAACGAGUCGAUUGAACGUUAAUAUAGGUCGGUUAAAUGUGGUGGAAUAGUAGGUAACUCAUCUGAACUUUGAGGCAGUGCCGAUGGCACCCUGUCUCGUGUCUCUUCAAUGUAACGUCUUAUGUCACUUAUCGCGUUUUCAUCUGCCGUACCCACUACAUCGUCAAAUUGUUCUAUGUAAUCAAUAGGUGUACCUUUCUUCAGGCGAAAUAGGCGAUUGCCAUCAUAUAAAAUGG